UACGGAGGAUGCGAGCGUUAUCCGGAUUUAUUGGGUUUAAAGGGUGCGUAGGCGGGAUGCCAAGUCAGCGGUAAAAAUGCGGUGCUCAACGCCGUCGAGCCGUUGAAACUGGCGUUCUUGAGUGGGCGAGAAGUAUGCGGAAUGCGUGGUGUAGCGGUGAAAUGCAUAGAUAUCACGCAGAACUCCGAUUGCGAAGGCAGCAUACCGGCGCCCGACUGACGCUGAGGCACGAAAGCGUGGGGAUCGAACAGG
This 252-nucleotide ribosomal RNA is filed under the name uncultured bacterium. RNAcentral describes it as "partial 16S ribosomal RNA". It matches the Rfam family "Bacterial small subunit ribosomal RNA", at positions 524 to 776 of the family's 1533-position model. The record is from RNAcentral.